Molecule: ribosomal RNA, 429 nt
Filed under: uncultured bacterium
Lineage: Bacteria
Description: bacterial SSU rRNA
Rfam family: Bacterial small subunit ribosomal RNA
Source: RNAcentral
GGACCCGCACAAGCAGUGGAGCAUGUGGUUUAAUUCGAAGAUACGCGCAGAACCUUACCAACACUUGACAUGUUCGUCGCGAGACUAAGAGAUUAGUCUCUUCAGUUCGGCUGGACGAAACACAGGUGCUGCAUGGCUGUCGUCAGCUCGUGUCGUGAGAUGUUGGGUUAAGUCCCGCAACGAGCGCAACCCUUGCCACUAGUUGCUACAUUUAGUUGGGCACUCUAGUGGGACUGCCGGUGACAAACCGGAGGAAGGUGGGGAUGACGUCAAGUCCUCAUGGCCCUUACGUGUUGGGCUACACACGUGCUACAAUGGUAUCUACAACAGGAAGCAAAACUGCGAGGUUUAGCAAAUCCUUAAAAGAUACCUCAGUUCGGAUUGCACUCUGCAACUCGAGUGCAUGAAGCUGGAAUUACUAGUAAUCGU